GGUACUCAAAUAAAAUUCAAAGUUUCAUGAGAAAUAAAACAGAUAAAUAUGCUUUGGAAGAAGACUUUAAAUCCUGUAUUACGGAGAGUCAUUAAUCAGCUUACUAAAUGUGCUCCUCAAACCCCAUUCCAGAGCGUGUGUCACUUGUGUUAUAGAAACUCAAGGCGUGGUUUUAGAAUAUAUAAUUUUGAUUAUUUUAGCGUACAUGCAUACAUUAAAAUAUUCUGAGCUACAUGUGAACAAUAAAUAGAAAGUCAUUUCACAGAAUUUGGAAAGAUUUUUCUAAGUUGUUUCAUUUUUUUCAAGAUUUAAUAUAGCUUUAUGAGACAGGCUACCUCAGCUGUCAACGUAUACAAUGAAAUCAACUUGCAAAGUUCAAAAUAUUCAAAAGAUACAUUUAGAUCAUUUUGAUUAUAUUUAAAUAAUGUUAAAUUUAAUAGCUAAAUUAAUUAUUUAAAAAUCUUGGGCUGAUACUGGAAUAACAUUUAUAAUCAUUCAAACACGAUUUUCUAUGGAAUUUACAUUAUCUCACAAAUACAGCUAUGUAAAUUGUUUUGAUGUCUGGUACUAGUACAGGAUUUCCAUACCCAAUGAUGCUAAAAAAAAAAAUCAAAGAAUUCCCAUCUAAAAUCAACAUAUACUGGCCCCAAAAUGAUAGGCAGAAAAUUAUUGUUCAGCUUGGAAUUGUAUAUUUGUGGUCUUAGAAAUUCUGACAUGCAUUUUACAAACUCCUCUUUGGUAGCUCUGACAUUUUAUCAGUUUCAAAGUGAAAACUUUGAUGGAAAAAGCUGGUGUCCUCUGAAUCACGGACACAACGAUGCUAAUAACGAUUACGGCUAUUGUUUCCUGAGCAGCCACGACCUGCCGGGCACUGUGACAAGGGCUUUGCACCCAUAAACUCUAAUCCUUGGCACAAACCUGAAGGGUGGUAACAUUGUGCCCAGUCUACAAAUGAGGCAAACUAAGGCCCAGAGAGGUUAGGUGGUUUCUGAGAGUCACACGCUGGUCACUGGCAGGGCCCCAGUCUCUUUGAUUCAAAAGUAGGUUCUCUUCCUUCACAUUUUCACUACUCAUGGACAAAGGAGUCUGUGGCACUCCGUGAACAUCAAGAUUAUAGGAGUUUCUCUUGAAAUAUUCGUGUUUUCUCUUGGACUUAUGAUAACCCUAAAAAUAAAAAAUAAAAAACAGAGCUAAGGUGGAGACUGGCAGUAAAAUAAGGACCCAUGUCAAAUUUACGUCCAAAACAUUUAGCGUAACGAUUUGGUAGACUAUUUUAUAUGUAAUUAGAAGGUUAACCAAACUCUCAGGAAGCCUAUAACUGUCUGAAGAUAACCUCUUACAAAUUCUCAACCAAGUAAAACACGCACACAUGGGAAGCUGGCAAAAAAAAAACAAAAAACAAAAAUCAAAUAGAGUUCAAACACCUCAUUUCAUUAAAAGUUUUCUUAACUAACUGGAAUGUUUCCUUCGAUUUUCUCUUUGUAUUCUACAGCUAUAUUAUGAAAUUGCCUUUUAAUUCCCCAUAUGGGGAUUAUUUAAUCAUGCCUUUACCAGCUGUGAACAUAGCUUCUCUCCUGAUAACAGUUUAUUUUUAAAGGAAAUUGCCUUUGAAGAAAAUAUUUUGACAUUAUGCAGGAAAAUAAAGAGUUCAUCGGAAGAAACCGAAAAAAAAAGGCUAAAACAAAGAUCACAAAAAGAAUGAGUCAGUCUGUGGGGAAAAAAGAGGAUAGUGGCUACAUAAAGAUAAAACAAAACCAGCCACUCACGAGGAGGGAACAAUGGGCUCCUUCCACAUGAACAAAACUGACCGGCGGCCCGUUUUCCCCAUGCUCCACGGGUGUUUUGAUGUCCUUCAGACACAGUCAGGUAUCCAGACUCGAGUGUCCUCUGGGUCCUUCACUAGUUCUCUCUCGGAUCCCAGACACUGUCUUGAAUAUGUUGUGGUGCGCAAGUAAUCUUCAGAUCUUACACAUUGUUCAACAACUUUCACUUUUAGGCAUGUAAGGAAGGGAGGGACCUUAAACUUGGAGGGACUCUGGCAGAGACAAGGUGUAAAGGGACCUCCUCAGGCAGCAAAGGAAAGGAAAGUUAGAGAGAAGAAAAAGGAAUGCCUCUGGUCUUCCAUUCCUGGGUGCAGACUCACCAGAACCAUGGAACGGGGGACAGUAGGGAGAAAGGCAUUAACGGAGGACACAAGGGGAGUGCGGAGGCAGUGCGGAGGAAAGGAACUUUUUGCCAAGGCUGUAAAGCAGCAUCUCAACCUGCGCACGGCUGACAUGCUGGACUCGACAGCUCUUUGCUGUGAGGCUGCCCUACGCAUGCAGAACGUUCAACAGCGUCUCUCGCCUCUACCCACUAGAUGUCUGGAGCACCCCCACCACCACACUGGUGACAACUAAAACUGUCUCCAGACAUUGCCAGAUGUCCCUGGGAGACCAAAUCACCCUAGAUAAGAAGCACUGCUAUAAAAGAAACCAGCAUGGGGAGGUUCUGAGCCAACCAGAAAUCAGCUCACGGUCAUUUCUACACCAUCCCGCCCCUGCCCCGGGAGACGGUCUCAUUCUCAUUCCACAUUUAUUAAGCACCUACUUCAUUUUCGAUUCUGUGCUGGAUGCUGGGGAUUCUCCGUUGGGAAAGACUGUAUCCUUGCCUUCAUAGAAGCUAUAAUUCAGGAGGAGAGAUAGAAGAGUGUGCAAGAGGCAACACCAUAAAGGAUGGAAAACCAUCAUGCAGCCUGGAGAUCCUGCGCGAGCAAGGAGGGACAAAACCAAAGUGAAAGCAGACAGAAGGGCUUGGUGACUAAAGACAAUGCUUGGGCUGGAUUUCAAAGGGUAAGAGUUUACCUGGUGGACAAAAAGACGAAGGGAGGAGAAAUGCUA
This is a long non-coding RNA of Equus caballus (horse), 2879 nucleotides long. NCBI's taxonomy places the organism in Eukaryota, Metazoa, Chordata, Mammalia, Perissodactyla, Equidae. The record is from Ensembl.